CACCUUGACGGUACCUAACCAGAAAGCCACGGCUAACUACGUGCCAGCAGCCGCGGUAAUACGUAGGUGGCAAGCGUUGUCCGGAAUUAUUGGGCGUAAAGGGCUCGCAGGCGGUUUCUUAAGUCUGAUGUGAAAGCCCCCGGCUCAACCGGGGAGGGUCAUUGGAAACUGGGAAACUUGAGUGCAGAAGAGGAGAGUGGAAUUCCACGUGUAGCGGUGAAAUGCGUAGAGAUGUGGAGGAACACCAGUGGCGAAGGCGACUCUCUGGUCUGUAACUGACGCUGAGGAGCGAAAGCGUGGGGAGCGAACAGGAUUAGAUACCCUGGUAGUCCACGCCGUAAACGAUGAGUGCUAAGUGUUAGGGGGUUUCCGCCCCUUAGUGCUGCAGCUAACGCAUUAAGCACUCCGCCUGGGGAGUACGGUCGCAAGACUGAAACUCAAAGGAAUUGACGGGGGCCCGCACNAGCGGUGGAGCAUGUGGUUUAAUUCGAAGCAACGCGAAGAACCUUACCAGGUCUUGACAUCCUCUGACAACCCUAGAGAUAGGGCUUUCCCUUCGGGGACAGAGUGACAGGU
RNAcentral lists this ribosomal RNA (576 nucleotides) under Bacillus pumilus. RNAcentral's name for it is "bacterial SSU rRNA". It matches the Rfam family "Bacterial small subunit ribosomal RNA", at positions 465 to 1039 of the family's 1533-position model. The record is from RNAcentral. Lineage: Bacteria; Bacillati; Bacillota; Bacilli; Caryophanales; Bacillaceae.